AGUUCAGAAGUGUGUCCUUCCGAACUUAAAGAACUGGAGGCCAGUCUCUUUGUUAUGUGCAGACUAUAAAAUACUUGCGAAAGUACUGUCCAAUAGGUUGAAGAAUUGUUUGGAUUCAGUAAUCCAUGAUACACAGACUUAUUCUAUAUCUGGUCGUUCAAUCAUGGACAGUAUUUUUUUAGUUCAGGAUAUUAUUGGAGUAGCAAAAUUUAAUAAAUUGGACAUUGGACUCUUAUCAAUUGAUCAAGAGAAAGCUUUUGAUAGAGUAGAUCAUCGGUAUCUUUUCAACACCAUGAGGGCAUUUGGAUUCCCCAGAAUUUUUACAUCAUGGAUUGGUGCUCUCUAUGUGGGGGCUACAGUGCUUCUCA
Molecule: long non-coding RNA, 368 nt
Organism: Thalassophryne amazonica
Lineage: Eukaryota; Metazoa; Chordata; Actinopteri; Batrachoidiformes; Batrachoididae
Exons: 3
Source: RefSeq, a predicted model, not a curated record